AAGCUGUCCAUGGAUCGCCUUUGGAGAGGAUUUGCAAAGGCCAAUGUGGUGCUGGUGACUACAGCAUGAAGAGUUCCAGAAUCUCCCUAUGUUCCUGGCUUAAAAGGAACUUGGGAUCCCAGGAGUUGAGGAAAUCCAGAGAUGUUAAGAUUUUUACAGGCCUAUCACCUUUGAGAACAGUGUUCAUGAGAUGGAGACACUGACUGAAAACUACACUUUGAAUAUUUUGGGAGAGAGUGGAACAGUUAGCAAUUUGAUUGUGCUUGGUAUCAAGUUUCUUAUGAAAAUCUCCCACCCCCAAAGCACAGAUUCUAAUAAAACAAAAUUAUAAAAUAAGA
Molecule: long non-coding RNA, 338 nt
Organism: Leopardus geoffroyi (Geoffroy's cat)
Lineage: Eukaryota; Metazoa; Chordata; Mammalia; Carnivora; Felidae
Exons: 2
Source: RefSeq, a predicted model, not a curated record